UAAAGCAGGAUUUUUCAUUCCUGCUCGGAGAGCGUGUCAGCUCUGAGCCCAGCUAGAGGAGGCAGAUCCUGGGAGCCGGGGAGCCGAGGCUAUGCCAUGAUGCUGGAGGAGCCGAGGCUAUGCCAUGAUGCUGGAUGCUCUUCUCCUGUUCUUCUGCUUCUCUCAACACUGACAGGCAUCUUAUAGCUACGUCUGCCACUCUUUGUGUUCGCGUUUAUUGCAUAUUAAGGAUGCUCCACAGAUCAUCAUGUGCUUCAAUGGACAUAAGAACAUACAACCAUCUUUAAAAGGAGUUCACAAUAUCAUGUUUUGCCUAUUUGAUCAGUGAGCUGCAGAAAUUGGACAGAACAUGAAUAUCUCUCUUUGCUUAACUGUUCACAUUUUCCAAAAUCAUUUAUUUAUUUACUUUUUUAAAUAAAAAGAAAUGCUUACGUUUCAA
Molecule: long non-coding RNA, 439 nt
Organism: Carassius auratus (goldfish)
Lineage: Eukaryota; Metazoa; Chordata; Actinopteri; Cypriniformes; Cyprinidae
Exons: 2
Source: RefSeq, a predicted model, not a curated record